UGCAGUCGAGCGAAUGACGAGGAGCUUGCUCCUCUGAUUUAGCGGCGGACGGGUGAGUAACACGUGGGCAACCUGCCCUGCAGACUGGGAUAACUUCGGGAAACCGGAGCUAAUACCGGAUAAUCCAUUUUACUUCAUGGUGAAAUGUUGAAAGGCGCUUUCGCGCCACUGCAGGAUGGGCCCGCGGUGCAUUAGCUAGUUGGUGGGGUAACGGCCUACCAAGGCGACGAUGCAUAGCCGACCUGAGAGGGUGAUCGGCCACAUUGGGACUGAGACACGGCCCAAACUCCUACGGGAGGCAGCAGUAGGGAAUCUUCCACAAUGGACGAAAGUCUGAUGGAGCAACGCCGCGUGAGUGAUGAAGGUUUUCGGAUCGUAAAACUCUGUUGUAAGGGAAGAACAAGUACGUUAGGAAAUGAACGUACCUUGACGGUACCUUAUUAGAAAGCCACGGCUAACUACGUGCCAGCAGCCGCGGUAAUACGUAGGUGGCAAGCGUUGUCCGGAUUUAUUGGGCGUAAAGCGCGCGCAGGUGGUUUCUUAAGUCUGAUGUGAAAUCUCGCGGCUCAACCGCGAGCGGUCAUUGGAAACUGGGGAACUUGAGUGCAGAAGAGGAUAGUGGAAUUCCAAGUGUAGCGGUGAAAUGCGUAGAGAUUUGGAGGAACACCAGUGGCGAAGGCGACUGUCUGGUCUGUAACUGACACUGAGGCGCGAAAGCGUGGGGAGCAAACAGGAUUAGAUACCCUGGUAGUCCACGCCGUAAACGAUGAGUGCUAAGUGUUANGGGGUUUCCGCCCCUUAGUGCUGCAGCUAACGCAUUAAGCACUCCGCCUGGGGAGUACGACCGCAAGGUUGAAACUCAAAGGAAUUGANGGGGCCCGCACAAGCGGUGGAAGCAUGUGGUUUAAUUCGAAGCAACGCGAAGAACCUUACC
RNAcentral lists this ribosomal RNA (934 nucleotides) under Rummeliibacillus stabekisii. RNAcentral's name for it is "bacterial SSU rRNA". It matches the Rfam family "Bacterial small subunit ribosomal RNA", at positions 56 to 975 of the family's 1533-position model. Lineage: Bacteria; Bacillati; Bacillota; Bacilli; Caryophanales; Caryophanaceae. The record is from RNAcentral.